This 507-nucleotide ribosomal RNA is filed under the name uncultured bacterium. RNAcentral's name for it is "bacterial SSU rRNA". It matches the Rfam family "Bacterial small subunit ribosomal RNA", at positions 15 to 518 of the family's 1533-position model. The record is from RNAcentral.
GAUCAUGGCUCAGGAUGAACGCUAGCGGCAGGCCUAAUACAUGCAAGUCGAACGGGAUAGGCCCCUUCGGGGCCUGAGAGUGGCGCACGGGUGCGCAACGCGUAUGCAACAACCCCCGACAGGCGGAUAGCCGGUGGAAACGCCGGAUAAUACGCCAUGGUUCCGUGGGAGGGCAUCCUCCUGAGGAUAAAGCCGAGAGGCGGUCGGGGACGGGCAUGCGUCCCAUUAGAUGGUAGGCGGGGUGACGGCCCACCUAGUCCACGAUGGGUAGGGGAUCUGAGAGGACGGUCCCCCACACUGGUACUGAGACACGGACCAGACUCCUGCGGGAGGCAGCAGUAAGGGAUAUUGGUCAAUGGGCGGAAGCCUGAACCAGCCCAUGCCGCGUGAGGGAAUGAGGCCCUACGGGUCGUGAACCUCUUUUAUUCGGGGACAAGGACGCGGUCGGGAACCGUGUUUGAGGGUACCGAAGGAAUAAGCGUCGGCUAACUCCGUGCCAGCAGCCGC